Long non-coding RNA from Pocillopora verrucosa, 1680 nucleotides. RefSeq lists it as uncharacterized. The record is from RefSeq and is a predicted model, not a curated record. Lineage: Eukaryota; Metazoa; Cnidaria; Anthozoa; Scleractinia; Pocilloporidae.
GUCUGUCGACGAGUGAGACCUUUUCCGCGGGGCAGUAAAAUAACUCAACCGAUGUAUUAUCUGUUGAAAGGAAGAACUUGACAAAGACUGGGUUAAUUAACAGAACGCCCAUGAAAAUAACAGCGAGAAAAUUGGUACGGAGUAAAACUGUUAUGUUAAAUGACUGCAGUCCCGUAAUAGCUUGCGAUUGACUGUGUCUCCUUACAAGAGAAAGCAGGGAAAUGCAAGAAGCGAAAUAAAAGUAGCUACCCUAGUGCUCUAACAGUCCAGGAGUUUGCGCAGGCUUACGUGGAUGCACAAAAAUGAAAACCUCCUGCAAUGAAUGUCUAGCAAAAAGCCACAAGAUUGAAAAGCCAACGCUGACAGCGAGCAAGGAAGACGUGAAAAGAAGGUGAAAUGUUGAGCUGAUCAAGAUCAGAAGAGAAAACAAAAAAAAGGCAGUGGGAAAGCUAUUGUUUGAAUUAAAUCAGGAAAGAAGAGAUGUCGCACACAAAACUAUCGCAUGGAAACUAAGACCCAUGAUGCAGAGGGUAAGACCAGAGCAGAUGCGCUGCUAAGGAUGCACAACAGGAACGCAAAGAAAAAGAAGCGGAGGCAAUGGGCAGUCGUGUUCUAGGAAUUAAAGAGGAGACGCAACACUUAUUAGACCAUCAAGGAACAACGUGGCUUGAGACGCCAAAAAAAAAAACAAACAAACAAUAAAACGAGCUUUGUAGAUUGGAGUAUUAAACAAAGGCAUCUGCUGUUGUCUGUUAUAUAAGAAGGUAGAAGAAGACGUCUCGCCAGUGUUUGCUCCAAUUUAUUACGCCCCACAGUUCAAAACUACUGUAGGCAUGUCUUUUCAGCUACAUCUGACGACUACCGCCCGAGGAUUUAAGUGACUCUAUCAUUAAUUACCGCCAGUGUUUGAUAAAAUCGUCCAAAUUUAAAAACUGUCUCGCCAAAGAUUCGUUUACAAAUCGACAGUUCAAUUGUAACCUGUAAAUUUUCAGGCUGGGCCCAAAUGCAUCGAUUAAUGGGUAGUUUUGCAACCAGUGUGGAAAAGACCCGGCCAAAACUAAGCUCAGAGAAAUACACACACAUAUAACUGACUCAAAUAGCAGACGGACAAAUCCUGCUGCAUUGCGACCUCUCCAUGGAUGACAAGGAUUAAUGCUAACCUUUGCUGUUGUCCGGCAGGAUGUACUUUUGGACCCAAAGCGAGUUACUCAGAACUUGGUAAUUCAUAAGAUUCAUAAUGUUGUGCAAAACUUCUCAAAGUUCCAAGAAUUCAACAAAUGGAGGCUAGCCUGAAAUGUUUACUUCUCCACUGACUCACAACUUGAACUAUCACCCAUCCCAGACAAACGUUUGUAAGUAAUUGGAAUACAAAUUUGAAUUCUCACAUAUCUGACUUUUGUCACAUACAAAGUUGGCAAGUUUUGUUCGCUGCACAUUUACCUUCCUUAACCGUGCACAAUGAGCUCUAAACACUUUCUUUUAUGUCAUAAAAAUUUCUAUCUUACUUUUACUGAAAAACUGUACUUCCUACAAAAUUUUCUCAAAGCUGUAUCGUUGAAUUCACAAGAAUUUAAGGGAAUGUAAUUUCUUGAUGUGCAAUGCAAAAACAACAAACACGUCAGGAUUUCUCAAUCGUGCACAUGCUCAAGGGCCUUAGAGCGAUAAAGCAUUGAUAAAUGA